UGUGAACUCGAAGAGUAGGGCGGGACACGUGGUAUCCUGUCUGAAUAUGGGGGGACCAUCCUCCAAGGCUAAAUACUCCUGACUGACCGAUAGUGAACCAGUACCGUGAGGGAAAGGCGAAAAGAACCCCGGCGAGGGGAGUGAAAAAGAACCUGAAACCGUGUACGUACAAGCAGUGGGAGCACCUUCGGGUGUGACUGCGUACCUUUUGUAUAAUGGGUCAGCGACUUAUAUUCUGUAGCAAGGUUAACCGUAUAGGGGAGCCGCAGGGAAACCGAGUCUUAACUGGGCGUUAAGUUGCAGGGUAUAGACCCGAAACCCGGUGAUCUAGCCAUGGGCAGGUU
This 344-nucleotide ribosomal RNA is filed under the name Klebsiella quasipneumoniae subsp. similipneumoniae. Its description in RNAcentral is "partial 23S ribosomal RNA". It matches the Rfam family "Bacterial large subunit ribosomal RNA", at positions 398 to 746 of the family's 2925-position model. The record is from RNAcentral. Lineage: Bacteria; Pseudomonadati; Pseudomonadota; Gammaproteobacteria; Enterobacterales; Enterobacteriaceae.